CAAUCUGUCUAGUCUUACAUUGGCAAACACGAACAAAAAUUUAUUACCAAACUCCACCUAACUGAAUUUACCUUUUUACAGUGUGGCCACAGAACAGCUGCUGCGCCUAUUUCAAAAUGCCAGCUCACAGGAACACAACAGCUGAAGGAUCACUGCUGGGUACUGAAGAGAAACUGUUAUGCUAUUUUGUUACUCAAAACUUAAGUCUCCUUCCU
RNAcentral lists this long non-coding RNA (215 nucleotides) under Gallus gallus (chicken). The record is from RNAcentral. Lineage: Eukaryota; Metazoa; Chordata; Aves; Galliformes; Phasianidae.